AACGAACGCUGGCGGCAUGCCUAACACAUGCAAGUCGAACGAGACCUUCGGGUCUAGUGGCGCACGGGUGCGUAACGCGUGGGAACCUGCCCUUAGGUUCGGAAUAACUCCCCGAAAGGGGUGCUAAUACCGGAUAAUGUCUUCGGACCAAAGAUUUAUCGCCUUUGGAUGGGCCCGCGUUGGAUUAGCUAGUUGGUAGGGUAAAAGCCUACCAAGGCGACGAUCCAUAGCUGGUCUGAGAGGAUGAUCAGCCACACUGGGACUGAGACACGGCCCAGACUGCUACGGGAGGCAGCAGAGGGGAAUAUUGGACAAUGGGCGAAAGCCUGAUACAGCAAUGCCGCGUGAGUGAUGAAGGCCUUAGGGUUGUAAAGCUCUUUUACCCGGGAUGAUAAUGACAGUACCGGGAGAAUAAGCACCGGCUAACUCCGUG
This 433-nucleotide ribosomal RNA is filed under the name uncultured bacterium. RNAcentral describes it as "partial 16S ribosomal RNA". It matches the Rfam family "Bacterial small subunit ribosomal RNA", at positions 29 to 507 of the family's 1533-position model. The record is from RNAcentral.